GACGAACGCUGGCGGCGUGCUUAACACAUGCAAGUCGAACGGAAAGGCUCCAGCUUGCUGGAGUACUCGAGUGGCGAACGGGUGAGUAACACGUGGGUAAUCUGCCCUGCACUCUGGGAUAAGCCUGGGAAACUGGGUCUAAUACUGGAUAUGACCUUUCUCCUUAUGGGGUUUGGUGGAAAGUUUUUCGGUGUAGGAUGAGCCCGCGGCCUAUCAGCUUGUUGGUGGGGUGAUGGCCUACCAAGGCGACGACGGGUAGCCGGCCUGAGAGGGUGAUCGGCCACAUGGGGACUGAGAUACGGCCCAGACUCCUACGGGAGGCAGCAGUGGGGAAUAUUGCACAAUGGGCGGAAGCCUGAUGCAGCGACGCCGCGUGAGGGAUGACGGCCUUCGGGUGGUAAACCUCUUUCAGCAGGGACGAAGCGUAAGUGACGGUACCUGCAGAAGAAGCACCGGCUAACUACGU
Molecule: ribosomal RNA, 466 nt
Filed under: uncultured bacterium
Lineage: Bacteria
Description: partial 16S ribosomal RNA
Rfam family: Bacterial small subunit ribosomal RNA
Source: RNAcentral